Molecule: ribosomal RNA, 386 nt
Filed under: uncultured organism
Description: bacterial SSU rRNA
Rfam family: Bacterial small subunit ribosomal RNA
Source: RNAcentral
UGCCUUACACAUGCAAGUCGGACGGCAGCGCGGGCUUCGGCCUGGCGGCGAGUGGCGAACGGGUGAGUAAUACAUCGGAACAUGUCCAGUAGUGGGGGAUAGCCCGGCGAAAGCCGGAUUAAUACCGCAUACGAUCUGUGGAUGAAAGCGGGGGAUCUUCGGACCUCGCGCUAUUGGGGUGGCCGAUGGCGGAUUAGGUAGUUGGUAGGGUAAAGGCCUACCAAGGCGACGAUCGCUAGCUGGUCUGAGAGGAUGAUCAGCCACACUGGAACUGAGACACGGUCCAGACUCCUACGGGAGGCAGCAGUGGGGAAUAUUGGACAAUGGGCGCAAGCCUGAUCCAGCAAUGCCGCGUGUGUGAAGAAGGCCUUCGGGUUGUAAAGCAC